Molecule: ribosomal RNA, 252 nt
Filed under: uncultured bacterium
Lineage: Bacteria
Description: partial 16S ribosomal RNA
Rfam family: Bacterial small subunit ribosomal RNA
Source: RNAcentral
UACGGAGGGUGCAAGCGUUAUCCGGAUUCACUGGGUUUAAAGGGUGCGUAGGCGGACAGGUAGUCAGUGGUGAAAUCUCUGGGCUUAACCCAGAAACUGCCGUUGAUACUAUUUGUCUUGAAUAUCCUGGAGGUAGGCGGAAUAUGUCAUGUAGCGGUGAAAUGCUUAGAUAUGACAUAGAACACCGAUAGCGAAGGCAGCUUACUACAGGAUGAUUGACGCUGAGGCACGAAAGCGUGGGGAGCAAACAGG